This 395-nucleotide ribosomal RNA is filed under the name uncultured bacterium. RNAcentral's name for it is "bacterial SSU rRNA". It matches the Rfam family "Bacterial small subunit ribosomal RNA", at positions 8 to 432 of the family's 1533-position model. The record is from RNAcentral.
AGAGUUUGAUCAUGGCUCAGAACGAACGCUGGCGGCAUGCCUAACACAUGCAAGUCGAACGAGCACUUCGGUGCGAGUGGCGAACGGGUGAGUAACGCGUGGGAAUCUGCCUCAAAGUGGGGAAUAACCAACGGAAACGGUGGCUAAUACCCCAUACCCCCUGCGGGGGAAAGUUUUUCGCUUUGAGAUGAGCCCGCGUCGGAUUAGGUUGUUGGUGAGGUAAAAGCUCACCAAGCCUGUGAUCCGUAGCUGGUCUGAGAGGAUGAACAGCCACACUGGGACUGAGACACGGCCCAGACUCCUACGGGAGGCAGCAGUGGGGAAUAUUGGACAAUGGGGGAAACCCUGAUCCAGCAAUGCCGCGUGAGUGAUGAAGGCCUUAGGGUUGUAAAACU